This 253-nucleotide ribosomal RNA is filed under the name uncultured bacterium. Its description in RNAcentral is "partial 16S ribosomal RNA". It matches the Rfam family "Bacterial small subunit ribosomal RNA", at positions 524 to 776 of the family's 1533-position model. The record is from RNAcentral.
UACGUAGGGUGCGAGCGUUGUCCGGAAUUAUUGGGCGUAAAGGGCUCGUAGGCGGUCUGUCACGUCGGGAGUGAAAACUCAGGGCUUAACCCUGAGCCUGCUUCCGAUACGGGCAGACUAGAGGUAUGCAGGGGAGAACGGAAUUCCUGGUGUAGCGGUGAAAUGCGCAGAUAUCAGGAAGAACACCCGUGGCGAAGGCGGCUCUCUGGGACGGUACUGACGCUGAGACGCGAAAGCGUGGGGAGCGAACAGG